Molecule: long non-coding RNA, 1509 nt
Filed under: Gopherus agassizii (Agassiz's desert tortoise)
Lineage: Eukaryota; Metazoa; Chordata; Testudines; Testudinidae
Description: lncRNA (ENSGAGG00000002592.1)
Source: RNAcentral
AUAAAAUCAGCGUUUGGUUUCAUUAGUAUUUAUUGGUAACAUACCAGCAUUUCUCCAGGCUAAUCAUCAGACACAGAGAGCCAUCCACAUGAUCCACCUUGAUAAAGAUUCUGGCAACACUUGAGUGGAAGAUGAAAACUAAAGUGAAUGUAAAGAGAUUCCAUGAGUCAGCCAUGCCAUGACUUGUAGUUUUGGCAUCAGCCUUUCAAAAUUGGGCGUUCCCCUGUGAUGUUUAAUUGGCUCUCGGAAACACAGUUUAAAACAAGUUUUGGACAUAGGCGCACGGAACAAAACCAGCUUCGGUGGGGAAUUCAUUCUGGCUGCAAAAAGAAGGUGGUGAGAGAAGCCUUCCUCAUGAGGCAUCAGAUGGAAGGAGGUCUGAACCAAAAAGCCAGGCCCACACCCUUUGAGGAUAUUUGAAAUCCACACCCAGAUCUGAACGUGAAUUGUGUAAGUGUCUUCUAACUUUAUAGUGGAUCGAUCCAAAAACCUGGAUCCAGAUACUCCUAAGUUUGGUGGCUUGGACUCAUGUCUGAUUGUAGUUAUCUAAACACCCUAGACAAAAUUAUUCAAGUGAGAACGAAAAUCCUUUCCCCAGAUUUACACCAAACCAUCUUUUCGCUUUGUAGGAAGCUUGGCAGCUUUUGGUAAGGCCUGGAAAAAAGAACGUGUCAAGAUCCCAACCAGGAAUGAAAACGAUAAUACAGCAAAGUAACUCAUCCAGCCCCCAUCAACGUCAACCUGCAAGAGAUUUUGUCUCCUGCUUAGAAGACACUAGCCUACACACACAAUCUUCAAAACCCGCUCUUCAGCUCUCAUUUACCUUUUCAAGUGCUUCACUGAAGCACAGAUUUACAAAAUACAGCCAUAUUAUCUUUUCAUUCAUUGUCAUGAACUUGACAUAUUCAUCUUUUAAGGUUUUACCAAAAGCUAUCAAGCUUCCUAUAAAAUGGGAAGGUGGUUUUAUAUAUAUAUAUAGAUCUGGAAAAGGGAUUUUUUCAUUUGGCCUCUGAACACUUUCAUGUGGGAUAUCCGGAUAAUUUAUGAUCAGAGAUAGGUCCAAGCCACCAGAUUUAAAAGUGUCUGUUUGCCCUAUAAACCUUAAAACUUGCAUCCAGGAACAAACAUCUGGGGAGUGUCCAGACUAGACUUUAAAAACACGUUAGCUACCAUGAGUUAACCUGCAAUCAGUUUAGAAGUAAAAGCGCUAGUGUAGACAUAUCCUGUGAGACUGCUGUUUACAACGAGACUUUCAUUUACAUGCUGAUGUGUGUACAUCAUUAAUACAUGCCACAUUCCUUGAAUUUCAAACAAACUUAUGGAAGCCGGCCAGCAAAAAGCACAAACUCAGAUUUUACCAGACUUUACAAAGACUGUUAGAUGAUGUACACUUCUUUUACUAACUAUGGACUGUGAAAAUACUUGUCCUGGGUAAAUUGCACAUCAGGGUGCAGUAUACAUACAACUCUUUAAGGUUUUGAUAAUAAAUGCAUGAAAAUAUUUGGGGAG